This is a long non-coding RNA of Carya illinoinensis, 740 nucleotides long. RefSeq lists it as uncharacterized. The transcript is spliced from 2 exons. The record is from RefSeq and is a predicted model, not a curated record. NCBI's taxonomy places the organism in Eukaryota, Viridiplantae, Streptophyta, Magnoliopsida, Fagales, Juglandaceae.
GAGAGAGAGAGAGAGAGUCUAGGGAGAAGUCAUGUGGUAGACCAGACAAGUGACAAGUAGCAACUUCCUUGCCUCUCCCCCUCAUUUUUCAAGUAUAUUUAGUGAGAAGAUACCAAGAUAGGCCAACCCAUGCUCUUGAGGAUUGAGCUUAAUGCUACGAAUGAGGAGACAGGCCAACAGAAAUCACUUCAAAGUACAUAUAUAAAACAUUGGAUGGGAUUAGUUCAAUUACAGAAUAUUGCACCAGGUAGAUUCCAAGAUCAUGUCGGUUCUGUCUUCUUCUUAAGAGCCUCGUACAUAGUAGAAUUAGUGUAAGCCUGUUUUCACACCAUUCACUACAGGGUUCAAAGUCAGUACCAUGAGAUUUUCAAAACGCUCUCUCUUUCUCUUUUUGGUUCUCUUUUACUGUUUGAUAUUUCUUGUUCAAGGGGAACCAAAGGCCAACAGAUUGGCGGUGGGCUCCGCAGGGACUUCUGCAAAUGGAAGAGUUGGGUGUAGCAUGGAAGUUGUCGAGUGCAAACAAGGAAAUGAGGGGCCAGAAGAUCAGAGUGUUUUUGAGAAUGAGGAUUAUAUCUACAGCAACUCUCUUCCUUAGAUAAAACACCUCCUUUUAAUGUAAAUUGCUUUGAAUGGAUCAUUCUGUAGCGUGUACUCCAUUCUUGUCUGUCUUUGUUUUUACUUAGAUUUGAGUAGUGCUGUCAAUUGAUUAAGACAAUUAAUCAUAUUUAAACUUGGUGUGA